UACCGCACCUACCACACACUGGCACCUCUGAGCCUGAACUCAUGCCACUGCCUAAUCCCAGACCUGCUUUAAUCUUAUUCCAGAACUUAUUCUUCCUCGACUUCUGCGUGGAACCACUCCACUUCUUACCACUGGAAGUUGCUGCACCCUGUGAAGAGGGAUCUGACUUACCCCUACCUGGGGUCUUAGAACCUGAAGACUGUGCCGGCUGCUGUUUCACUGUACCCUGUAUAAUGGCACUAGCCUCCAUCCUCCGUGCUAAAUCCACCACGGUGUGGAAACUCUCCCUCUCGGCUGCAUGGAUCAAAGAGGAAUACCUGGAAUGCAGUUUCAUAGCAUACCUCCUAGCCUUUUUCUGUUCUGUAUCAUAGGCCUGUCCUGCAUAUCGCAGCAACUCCAGAAACCUGUCAGUAAACUCAUC
RNAcentral lists this long non-coding RNA (421 nucleotides) under Manihot esculenta (cassava). Its description in RNAcentral is "long non-coding RNA (MESC_LNC002969)". The record is from RNAcentral. Lineage: Eukaryota; Viridiplantae; Streptophyta; Magnoliopsida; Malpighiales; Euphorbiaceae.